CCCCCCGCGCUCUGCCCACCUGUCCCCCACCCGCACUCGCCUCCUCCUACCUGCCGGCCUCCGCGCCACUGGGAGGGGCCGAGGACCCCCUGCUCCCGGCCCGAGUCUGCCCCAGAGGCUGCUGGCCCCACCUGUUAGCUUCUUGGCAGGGCCUGCAGUGGCGGCGGCCGGCUAGCCAGGUCCGGACAGGAAGAGCGAACCUGGGAGAGAAGCUUGAUUCUGCCAUAACCUGGCUGUUGUGCUGCGCUCAUUACCUGCCACACAAGACUGGCGCAAGCAGAACCCGAAGGUGGGUGACGUGGCCCCGGGCAGCUGGAGCUGGCAGAGAGUGAACAAGACAAGAAAACCCAGGCCGAGGUCGGGACAGAGGACCACGGCUUCGAAAUCCAGCGUGCGUUUUGUGCUUAUGGCACAUCUCAAUUUGGGCCGGAUGCGUUUCAAGGGCUGGAUGGUCUUGACUGUUCUGGAGGCCGGAAGUUCAAGAUCAAGGUGUCGGCAGGGUUGGUUCCUUCUCCCCUUGGCUAGCAGAUGGGCGUCUUCUCCCUGGGUCCACAUGUCGUCUUCCCUCUGUGCAGGAGAGGAAACUGAGGCACAAAGCGGCUAAGCCACUUGCCUAAGGUCGCUGGUGGAGCUCCUUGAAGAGGGUUGAAGGGGAGUCUUCUGCUGAGUAUAGAGAAGGAACUGUACCUACGGCUUGGAGACAGAUGCAAAGCCUCAAGAGAGGAGGAGCUGCUUGCCUGGGGACGGGAUGUGGCUACCUAGUGGAGAAGGAAACUGAGGUUACCCUGGGGCCACCUCUCCUGACCCUUCUCUUGUUCUGGUCUCUGUUUGGCCCUAAAUCCUACCACAAAGAAAUCAGGUUUGUUCAGCCCUUUAGUGGUCACGUGUGCAAGUCAUGCUGCCCUGCACAAAGCACCCUGAGGGACAGCCCGCAAUCAGCCCGUCUCCCGCAUGAGGAAACCGGGGCUUAGAACCCAUAAGGGGUCCUUCAGACGGUGGCUGCUGGAUUUUUUAUUAAAGAGACUCUUUUAUGUCUCUGUGUGUUUUAUUUUGUCAAUAGGAGACUCAGGGUCCAAACUGGUGUUGGUGGGACCCCUCUGUAGAUCCCAGGAGGUCUGGGUAGCUUUGACGCUUAGCGAGAAGGACUUAGCUGUCUAAUUCGGCAGCUGUGCUGUCCAGUCCAGCAGCCACAGCCACAUGCGGCCACGGAGCACCUGAAAUGUGGCUCGUUCCAAGCGAGAUGUGCACUAAGUGUAAAACCAGGGCGUGCAAGGGCUGACCUAGUCACCUAGUCACUAACUAGCGGGGACCCAGGGAUCUCGCCCAGGUCUACUCCAGGUAGCUCUUUCUGGGGCUGCAGACGUGCCCCUGGGUUGGGAGCCUCAAUGCCUCUCUGUCUCCACCCAACUUCCCACCGGGACGGGGCUGCUCCCAGCCGCGGGAGCCCCGGCCGCCCUAGCACCUCCCGCAGCGAAGGAUCAGAGAACAGGGCCCUUGGCAUGGGGGCCAGGUGUCCUGGUUUACCCCUGGGAGGUGCGUGAAGCUGAGACUGGCCCUGGGACCCAGCGUGCCCCUGGAGUCCUGGGGCUGCCUACCGGAGUGCACAG
Molecule: non-coding RNA, 1607 nt
Organism: Microcebus murinus (gray mouse lemur)
Lineage: Eukaryota; Metazoa; Chordata; Mammalia; Primates; Cheirogaleidae
Source: RefSeq, a predicted model, not a curated record